AGACGGGACCCGCACAAGCGGUGGAUGAUGUGGAUUAAUUCGAUGCAACGCGAAAACCUUACCUACCCUUGACAUGUCUGGAACCUUGCUGAGAGGCGAGGGUGCCUUCGGGAGCCAGAACACAGGUGCUGCAUGGCUGUCGUCAGCUCGUGUCGUGAGAUGUUGGGUUAAGUCCCGCAACGAGCGCAACCCUUGUCAUUAGUUGCCAUCAUUUAGUUGGGCACUCUAAUGAGACUGCCGGUGACAAACCGGAGGAAGGUGGGGAUGACGUCAAGUCCUCAUGGCCCUUAUGGGUAGGGCUUCACACGUCAUACAAUGGUCGGUACAGAGGGUUGCCAAGCCGCGAGGUGGAGCCAAUCCCUUAAAGCCGAUCGUAGUCCGGAUCGUAGUCUGCAACUCGACUGCGUGAAGUUGGAAUCGCUAGUAAUCGUAGAUCAGCAUGCUACGGUGAAUACGUUCCCGGGCCUU
Molecule: ribosomal RNA, 468 nt
Filed under: uncultured Thauera sp.
Lineage: Bacteria; Pseudomonadati; Pseudomonadota; Betaproteobacteria; Rhodocyclales; Zoogloeaceae
Description: bacterial SSU rRNA
Rfam family: Bacterial small subunit ribosomal RNA
Source: RNAcentral